GACGAACGCUGGCGGCGUGCUUAACACAUGCAAGUCGAACGGAAAGGCCCUGCUUUUGUGGGGUGCUCGAGUGGCGAACGGGUGAGUAACACGUGAGUAACCUGCCCUUGACUUUGGGAUAACUUCAGGUAACUGGGGCUACUACCGGAUAGGAGCUCCUGCUGCAUGGUGGGGGUUGGAAAGUUUCGGCGGGUGGGGAUGGGCUCGCGGCUUAUCAGCUUGUUGGUGGGGUAGUGGCUUACCAAGGCUUUGACGGGUAGCCGGCCUGAGAGGGUGACCGGCCACAUUGGGACUGAGAUACGGCCCAGACUCCUACGGGAGGCAGCAGUGGGGAAUAUUGCGCAAUGGGCGGAAGCCUGAUGCAGCAACGCCGCGUGCGGGAUGACGGCCUUCGGGUUGUAAACCGCUUUCGCCUGUGACGAAGCGUGAGUGACGGUAAUGGGUAAAGAAGCACCGGCUAACUACGUG
Molecule: ribosomal RNA, 468 nt
Filed under: uncultured bacterium
Lineage: Bacteria
Description: partial 16S ribosomal RNA
Rfam family: Bacterial small subunit ribosomal RNA
Source: RNAcentral